CAGAAAUACCCAAGUGAUACAUUUAGGGAAAUACACAGCAAAAGAGGCAAAUAUUUCAGUUAAAAAUAUUUGUCGUGACUUGAAUUCUGGUGUUUCCAAUUGAAUUAAUCAUUGCGAAAGGUGAAAACAAAUACAAAAGAACUAUAGUUUGGUGCAUUUUAUACAAUAUAGUUAAUAUUGAAAUUCUAGAAUAAAGUUUUAUAUCAGUA
This is a long non-coding RNA of Mytilus californianus (California mussel), 209 nucleotides long. RefSeq lists it as uncharacterized. The transcript is spliced from 2 exons. The record is from RefSeq and is a predicted model, not a curated record. NCBI's taxonomy places the organism in Eukaryota, Metazoa, Mollusca, Bivalvia, Mytilida, Mytilidae.